RNAcentral lists this ribosomal RNA (468 nucleotides) under uncultured bacterium. RNAcentral's name for it is "partial 16S ribosomal RNA". It matches the Rfam family "Bacterial small subunit ribosomal RNA", at positions 28 to 507 of the family's 1533-position model. The record is from RNAcentral.
GACGAACGCUGGCGGCGUGCUUAACACAUGCAAGUCGAACGGAAAGGCCCUGCUUUUGUGGGGUGCUCGAGUGGCGAACGGGUGAGUAACACGUGAGUCACCUGCCCUUGACUUUGGGAUAACUUCAGGAAACUGGGGCUAAUACCGGAUAGGAGCUCCUGCUGCAUGGUGGGGGUUGGAAAGUGUCGGCGGUGGGGGAUGGACUCGCGGCUUAUCAGCUUGUUGGGGGGGUAGUGGCUUACCAAGGCUUUGACGGGUAGCCGGCCUGAGAGGGUGACCGGCCACAUUGGGACUGAGAUACGGCCCAGAGUCCUACGGGAGGCAGCAGUGGGGAAUAUUGCACAAUGGGCGGAAGCCGGAUGCAGCAACGCCGCGUGCGGGAUGACGGCCUUCGGGUUUUAAACCGCUUUCGCCUGUGACGAAGCGGGAGUGACGGUAAUGGGUAAAGAAGCACCGGCUAACUACGUG